UACGGAGGGAGCUAGCGUUGUUCGGAUAUACUGGGCGUAAAGCGCACGUAGGCGGCGCAGCAAGUCAGGGGUGAAAUCCCAGAGCUCAACUCCGGAACUGCCUUUGAAACUGCAGUGCUAGAAUCCUGGAGAGGCGAGUGGAAUUCCGAGUGUAGAGGUGAAAUUCGUAGAUAUUCGGAAGAACACCAGUGGCGAAGGCGACUCGCUGGACAGGUAUUGACGCUGAGGUGCGAAAGCGUGGGGAGCAAACAGG
RNAcentral lists this ribosomal RNA (253 nucleotides) under uncultured bacterium. RNAcentral describes it as "partial 16S ribosomal RNA". It matches the Rfam family "Bacterial small subunit ribosomal RNA", at positions 524 to 776 of the family's 1533-position model. The record is from RNAcentral.